Molecule: non-coding RNA, 350 nt
Organism: Pelobates cultripes (western spadefoot toad)
Lineage: Eukaryota; Metazoa; Chordata; Amphibia; Anura; Pelobatidae
Source: the annotation of a GenBank genome assembly
GUAAAUAGUCAUUUUAAGGGGGACUGUUGUGGACAGAAUAUUAGCUAAAUUAAAAUGCCUAUUUACUCCAUUUAUUUAUAAUCAGUAUUAUUCAAUAAAUUACUAAAAUGACCACUAGAUGUCACUCAGGAGUACCCCUCCCAUCGACUAAAGACUCAUUUUCAAGAUGGCGCUGGAAUCCGGGGGAGAACUUCAUGACGACAGUAAUGACAAAAGAUGGCACACCCAGUAGGACGUGCUUUGAAUAAAACACAACCAAUUAUUGAUGUAAUCUUCUCUGUUAUCUGUAAUUAUGCAUAUGAUGUAUUAGUGCUUUAUAAGGGGGUCCAACCCCCCAAAAUAAACAUUCC